GGCCACCUCAGGGGGGGCGUUUACCAUAGGCAGAGUAUUACUUUGCCGUACAAGCAAACGGAAGACAGAAA
RNAcentral lists this non-coding RNA (71 nucleotides) under unclassified sequences. Its description in RNAcentral is "L2-Alphaproteobacteria ribosomal protein leader". It matches the Rfam family "L2-Alphaproteobacteria ribosomal protein leader". The record is from RNAcentral.